RNAcentral lists this ribosomal RNA (440 nucleotides) under uncultured bacterium. Its description in RNAcentral is "partial 16S ribosomal RNA". It matches the Rfam family "Bacterial small subunit ribosomal RNA", at positions 355 to 811 of the family's 1533-position model. The record is from RNAcentral.
UGGGGAAUAUUGGACAAUGGGGGCAACCCUGAUCCAGCAAUGCCGCGUGUGUGAAGAAGGUCUUCGGAUUGUAAAGCACUUUCGACGGGGACGAUGAUGACGGUACCCGUAGAAGAAGCCCCGGCUAACUUCGUGCCAGCAGCCGCGGUAAUACGAAGGGGGCUAGCGUUGCUCGGAAUGACUGGGCGUAAAGGGCGUGUAGGCGGUUUACACAGUCAGAUGUGAAAUCCCCGGGCUUAACCUGGGAGCUGCAUUUGAUACGUGUAGACUAGAGUGUGAGAGAGGGUUGUGGAAUUCCCAGUGUAGAGGUGAAAUUCGUAGAUAUUGGGAAGAACACCGGUGGCGAAGGCGGCAACCUGGCUCAUGACUGACGCUGAGGCGCGAAAGCGUGGGGAGCAAACAGGAUUAGGAUACCCUGGUAGUCCACGCUGUAAACGAUG